ACAACUGGUAAUUACUUGGGGAAUUGAGGCCCGGUCCAGGCGAUCACAUGUAACAAUACACACCUAUACAAAGACGGGUUUCAAAACAACGCUGGGAAAAGAGCAUCCGCCACUCGUUUGGAGGACGUCCCGUAAUUUUCAUUCCUCCCCAAGAUGCCAAACUGUCCGAAAUGCGAGAAGCCGGUGUAUUUUGCGGAGCGAUUCCAUUCCCUGGGGAAGGACUGGCACCGGGCCUGCCUGCGGUGUGAGAAGUGCAAUAAAGUACUACAGCAGGGAAGACAUGCGGAGCAUGACGGAAAGCCAUACUGUGAGAAGCCAUGUUAUCGAGAUCUGUUCGGCCCUGGAGGGAAGAUUUAGAAGAUGAUGACCUCACAGUGACGCCACGACAACCGAAACGACCUCGAGCUUCAAUUAAACAAACCCAAGACCAACGUUCGACUUCAUCGCCGUUACUAAUCUGACUUGAUAGAUAUUUAUCGUUGGCUUUAUCUUGCCAAUUAAAAAUGGGAUUAUAUCAUAGGAACUUCAGUGCGGCAGCUUUGAUUUCUUUCGUGUAUUGUUUCAAUAUUUAUUGAGGGUGUCAUCACGAGCUGUCUUUUUCCCAGCGUGACUUGCAACACAGAUUGACUUGUAGCGAAUGUUUAGAACAUUUUGCACCACUCCCACUCAGCGGAUGUGAACAAAACUGCAGCAGACAGGAGCAGAAACCUUUCCUAUUAAAGCAUGAACAUACAGGCUACGUCUUUAUCAACUAGGCCUCUGCAUUUAUGUAAAAUUGUCCGAGAGGACAUUACCUACAAUCCUUUAUACUGUUAGUGAUUUGAUUUGUAUGAUGUUCAACAUAGUGACGAUAAAUGUAUAGUUCGUUUGUAUGACACAGGAAAUUUCCAUGGAAUCGUAAUGAUAUUCCCGAACAGCUUCCUGAUCAGGACAUGCAGUUGUUCCCGCAUUUUAAUAGCCUAUACCAAUGUAUGAAUCGCAUGCGCAGCAUAUGUUUGAGGUUGAUGUAGUCAACAUUGUAAGAAACAAUGAAAAGUUUUUAUGGAUUUCUAGGGAGAGGUUUUUAUAGCUAAUUUAAGACUUUGUUUACAACUUUAUUUCACUUAUUCCAGAUUGAUGUAGAUGUAACAAGGGAAGGGGGAAAUGUAGUAAAAGAGAUGAAAAAGGAUUCAAAGUAGCCUAAUAUCUUGUUUGAAAAUGAAAUGAUUUAUGGUGCAAACAAGACAGCGUUCAAUGUAGCGUUAGCCAAACGCUGAAAAGAACGAAUAACAAACGUGUUGUGUCUUGUCCAGUGACGUAAGUACUGAUACAUGUAACCUUGGUACGUCAUAUUUUCGAACAAAUAGCAAUCUACAUAAGAGACAAAUCAUUUCUUCGAAGAAACCUUUUAUCUAGUGACUUACCAACCUGAUGAAACUAUUGACGGAGUGGAUUGAUUUUUCUUGAUGUCAAAAAUGUAUUGAUCUUAACGAAUGAAUGACCUUUUCUGUCCCACCUUUAUUCUAUAGCACUAGCUACAGUGGUUAUUCCGUGGUUCUGUCCAAUCGUAUUUGUAGUAUUAUACGUGGACUUCUGUCGUGUGUUGUAUGGAACAUAACUGCCAUAAGAAACAAACGUGUCAAUGGGCACAGCCCCGCCAUGUUGAUUAAGACUGACCAAAUAAAGACAUCCUAGAAUGA
Branchiostoma belcheri (Belcher's lancelet) is the source of this 1679-nucleotide long non-coding RNA. RefSeq lists it as uncharacterized. The record is from RefSeq and is a predicted model, not a curated record. Lineage: Eukaryota; Metazoa; Chordata; Leptocardii; Amphioxiformes; Branchiostomatidae. The transcript has 4 exons.